GGUCCGAUGGUCUAGUUGGUUAUGACACAUGCUUAACACAUCUCAGUGUAAGCGCAUGAGGUCUGCGGUUCGAUCCCGUGUCGGAUCA
This 88-nucleotide transfer RNA is filed under the name Tilletia horrida. RNAcentral describes it as "tRNA-Val". The record is from RNAcentral. Lineage: Eukaryota; Fungi; Basidiomycota; Exobasidiomycetes; Tilletiales; Tilletiaceae.